RNAcentral lists this ribosomal RNA (253 nucleotides) under uncultured bacterium. RNAcentral describes it as "partial 16S ribosomal RNA". It matches the Rfam family "Archaeal small subunit ribosomal RNA", at positions 474 to 727 of the family's 1478-position model. The record is from RNAcentral.
UACCAGCACCCCGAGUGGUCGGGACGUUUAUUGGGCCUAAAGCAUCCGUAGCCGGUUCUACAAGUCUUCCGUUAAAUCCACCUGCUUAACAGAUGGGCUGCGGAAGAUACUAUGGAGCUAGGAGGCGGGAGAGGCAAGCGGUACUCGAUGGGUAGGGGUAAAAUCCGUUGAUCCAUUGAAGACCACCAGUGGCGAAGGCGGCUUGCCAGAACGCGCUCGACGGUGAGGGAUGAAAGCUGGGGGGGCAAACCGG